Molecule: ribosomal RNA, 497 nt
Filed under: uncultured bacterium
Lineage: Bacteria
Description: partial 16S ribosomal RNA
Rfam family: Bacterial small subunit ribosomal RNA
Source: RNAcentral
GAUGAACGCUGGCGGCGUGCCUAAUACAUGCAAGUCGAGCGAACAGACGAGGAGCUUGCUCCUCUGACGUUAGCGGCGGACGGGUGAGUAACACGUGGAUAACCUACCUAUAAGACUGGGAUAACUUCGGGAAACCGGAGCUAAUACCGGAUAAUAUAUUGAACCGCAUGGUUCAAUAGUGAAAGACGGUUUUGCUGUCACUUAUAGAUGGAUCCGCGCCGCAUUAGCUAGUUGGUAAGGUAACGGCUUACCAAGGCAACGAUGCGUAGCCGACCUGAGAGAGGGAUCGGCCACACGGGAACUGAGACACGGACCAGGCUCCUACGGGAGGCAGCAGUAGAGAAUCUGCCGCAAUGGGCGAAAGCCUGACGGAACAACCCCGCGUGAGUGAUGAAGGUCUUCGGAUCGUAAAACUCUGUUAUUAGGGAAGAACAAAUGUGUAAGUAACUAUGCACGGCUUGACGGUACCUAAUCAGAAAGCAACGGCUAACUACGUG